AGCUUGCUUCUCCGGAUGAGUUGCGAACGGGUGAGUAACGCGUAGGUAACCUGCCUGGUAGCGGGGGAUAACUAUUGGAAACGAUAGCUAAUACCGCAUAACAGUAGAUAUUGCAUGAUAUCGGCUUGAAAGGUGCAAUUGCAUCACUACCAGAUGGACCUGCGUUGUAUUAGCUAGUUGGUGAGGUAACGGCUCACCAAGGCGACGAUACAUAGCCGACCUGAGAGGGUGAUCGGCCACACUGGGACUGAGACACGGCCCAGACUCCUACGGGAGGCAGCAGUAGGGAAUCUUCGGCAAUGGACGGAAGUCUGACCGAGCAACGCCGCGUGAGUGAAGAAGGUUUUCGGAUCGUAAAGCUCUGUUGUAAGAGAAGAACGAGUGUGAGAGUGGAAAGUUCACACUGUGACGGUAUCUUACCAGAAAGGGACGGCUAACUACGUGCCAGCAGCCGCGGUAAUACGUAGGUCCCGAGCGUUGUCCGGAUUUAUUGGGCGUAAAGCGAGCGCAGGCGGUUAGAUAAGUCUGAAGUUAAAGGCUGUGGCUUAGCCAUAGUACGCUUUGGAAACUGUUUAACUUGAGUGCAAGAGGGGAGAGUGGAAUUCCAUGUGUAGCGGUGAAAUGCGUAGAUAUAUGGAGGAACACCGGUGGCGAAAGCGGCUCUCUGGCUUGUAACUGACGCUG
RNAcentral lists this ribosomal RNA (684 nucleotides) under uncultured Streptococcaceae bacterium. RNAcentral describes it as "bacterial SSU rRNA". It matches the Rfam family "Bacterial small subunit ribosomal RNA", at positions 77 to 748 of the family's 1533-position model. The record is from RNAcentral. Lineage: Bacteria; Bacillati; Bacillota; Bacilli; Lactobacillales; Streptococcaceae.